This is a long non-coding RNA of Poecilia latipinna (sailfin molly), 1638 nucleotides long. RefSeq lists it as uncharacterized. The record is from RefSeq and is a predicted model, not a curated record. The transcript has 3 exons. Lineage: Eukaryota; Metazoa; Chordata; Actinopteri; Cyprinodontiformes; Poeciliidae.
ACACUGAGUGUAAGACGUUAAUAAAAGCCUUUUGCAAUAAAUGUCACGAAGGGAGGAGGCGAGGGUGUCGGGCUGGUGAUGUCACUCGUUUCCUCUUGCCUUUGGCAGGCUCGCGGUGUUUACCCAACACCCUCAGGUGCAGCGACUGAGGCGUCGCUAGGCAACCGCACCAUCCCUGGCGCUGCUCUGCCUCUGGCACUCAAGUGGGAGCUUAUGUGGACUUAACUCGGAAAAGAGCAGCAGGGCUGAGGAGCGGAAGGGAGGAUUACCAGGAAAAAUAUUGGAUUGGGCCGAGACACAAGGGCCGAGGCCUUACCUGAGUCCCCGCUGCCGUCGAACAUUGACGCCCUGAGAGGCUUUCGGGCCUCGACGAGGUUCCCACAACCAGAAAGAGACCCCGGCAGAAGAGCAGGUCCCUGAGAUUGACACGCGUGAUGCGCUGUCGAGUGAGUCUGGAGCCCGAGGAACCAGCGGCGCCGGUUAGAGACAAGCCUGUUCCGGACCCCUGAAAGAUGUGGAGAAGUUAAGGAAGAAGGAAACGGAGUCAGCUGACGGUUGCAGUGAGAACAGAGCUCUGCUUGACCUAAUGAGAGCCGUCGCUCUGCAAGUUUCUCUGCUCGAGCAGUUGGUGAGGACCGCCGGUGACAGCUGGUGACAAACUCAGCUUUCUAUCACCAACACGGCCACCGAGAAGCAGGCUCGACUCUCACCGCUAACAUUUGUAACCAUUAACAAAAAGAAUGUUUCAAACUGGAGCUAUAAAUACACUUAGUGACUCUCAGAAAGGAUCUGUUGAUGACAGUGCCUUGCUAAAGUAUUCAUAUCUCUUUUUUUAACGUUUUAAUCACAUUGCAUCCUCAACCUUCAGUGUGAUUUUUUUUAUUUUUUUAUUUUGUGAUGGGGUAAUCCUGUCGUGACAAGCAAUAAAUCAAUUCAUCACACGCUAAAUUAAAAAUGACCUUGAUAAUUUCGACUUGGACAAUAAUCUUUAAAAAGACACUUCCCUUUUAAUAUUGUUGAAAAGCCGCCAUUUUGAAAAACACUGGAAACAUUUGACAUCCACUUUGAAGUAGUUAGUUUGCACUUUUUUUUUCAUAUAAAAAUCCUACCUGGCUCUUUUGUCUGUUUUCCCUGACCAAGAGGACUGAUUAAUAUUUUUUGAAAUGGUUCCAGAUGCUUCAUAAUCUAUUUUAAUUAUUGUUGUCUCAGUUGUUUUGUUUAGUUAUUUUGGAUUUUUAAAAUGUUUUCCAGUCCCAGUGUCAAAUGUUCUUGAUUUUUGAGAUGGUGUUCUAGUAUUAUCAUUAUAUUAGUUGAAAAAUGUUCUCAAAAUGACAUUGUUAUUGUUUAUCACAAUACUUUCUGGCAUAAUUUAUGGUCCAGCAAAAUUUGUUGUCGUGACAGAAAUAUGAUAGGCCAACACAAAAUUGGACAUAAUGGUAAAUGGUAGGGGAAAUGAUGAUUAAGUUCACAAAUGUAUCAAAACCUGAUUGUCCACCAAGACUGAGCAAGGGAAAUAUUAAUCAGAGAAGUCAGAUGAGCCAAUAUAACUCUGCAGGAGCUGCAUUUGUCCAAUCCAUAAAUCUGGGCAUUUUGAAAGAUGGGCAAAAAGACGUCUGUUAAAAAAAAAAAAAAAAAAAA